AUAAAAGAUACAAAAAAGUCUCCACAUACUUAUCACUCUAUGUUGCCUUUACUUUUCUCUAUCUCAUCAGGAGUCAACAAAGGAAACUGCUGUUUUCCAGAUGGAGUACCCAAUCUAUUCCCAAGCCAUACUUCUCACAAAUGGUCUGACAACUGUAAAGACAACCCUGGAGGGCAAUUCCCAUCCUCUAUUGCAAUACUUCUGAAGCCCUGUCAAAAAAAAGGAUAUAGCACCUGUCCUGAGAACAUGACAACUCUAUUCCUGGUAAGGACUACGCAUUUCCCUAUUUUCUUACAACAAAGACUACCAAAGUAUAGUAGUCCGCACUUAUCCGCAGUUUUGCUUCCGGCAGUUUCGUUACCUGCCAUCAAUCUCAGACUGCAAGCAUCUUACCGUCCUUCUGACGAAUCAUCAGAUGGUCAAUUAGUAGCCCGACUCUACAUCACAAUGCCUACGUCAUUCUGCCUCAAGUUACCUCAUCACGUAGGCAUUUUAUCAUCUUACAGCGUCACAAGGAGAAGGGUGAGUACAGUGCAGUAAGAUAUUUUGAAAGAUAUAAUAGUCAUGUAACUUUUAGCACGGUGUACUAUUACAAUUGUUUUAUUUGUAAUUAAUUUAUUGGUGUUAAUCUUUUACUGUGCCUAAUUUAUAAGUUGACUUUUAUCAUCGGCAUGUAUGUAUAGGAAAAUACAGGGUUCUUUACUAUGUGUGGUCACAGGCAUUCAUUGAAGGUUUUGCAACAUACCUCCUGCAGCGAAGGGGGUGCUACUCUAUUAGGCAGG
RNAcentral lists this long non-coding RNA (782 nucleotides) under Felis catus (domestic cat). RNAcentral describes it as "lncRNA (ENSFCAG00000053357.1)". The record is from RNAcentral. Lineage: Eukaryota; Metazoa; Chordata; Mammalia; Carnivora; Felidae.